GGUCAGGAUAGCUCAGUUGGUAGAGCAGAGGACUGAAA
RNAcentral lists this transfer RNA (38 nucleotides) under Aristida anthoxanthoides. RNAcentral describes it as "partial tRNA-Phe". Lineage: Eukaryota; Viridiplantae; Streptophyta; Magnoliopsida; Poales; Poaceae. RNAcentral also lists the same sequence under 2 other names. The record is from RNAcentral.